RNAcentral lists this ribosomal RNA (429 nucleotides) under Actinomycetes bacterium. Its description in RNAcentral is "Actinobacteria bacterium partial 16S ribosomal RNA". It matches the Rfam family "Bacterial small subunit ribosomal RNA", at positions 355 to 776 of the family's 1533-position model. Lineage: Bacteria; Bacillati; Actinomycetota; Actinomycetes. The record is from RNAcentral.
UAGGGAAUCUUCCGCAAUGGGCGAAAGCCUGACGGAGCAACGCUGCGGGAGUGAUGAAGGUCUUCGGAUCGUAAAACUCUGUUAUUAGGGAAGAACAAAUGUGUAAGUAACUAUGCACGUCUUGACGGUACCUAAUCAGAAAGCCACGGCUAACUACGUGCCAGCAGCCGCGGUAAUACGUAGGUGGCAAGCGUUAUCCGGAAUUAUUGGGCGUAAAGCGCGCGUAGGCGGUUUUUUAAGUCUGAUGUGAAAGCCCACGGCUCAACCGUGGAGGGUCAUUGGAAACUGGAAAGCUUGAGUGCGGAAGAGGAAAGUGGAAUUCCAGGUGUAGCGGUGAAAUGCGCAAAAAUAUGGAGGAACACCAGUGGCGAAGGCGACUUUCUGGUCUAUAACUGACGCUGAUGUGCGAAAGCGUGGGGAUCAAACAGG